Molecule: ribosomal RNA, 496 nt
Filed under: uncultured bacterium
Lineage: Bacteria
Description: partial 16S ribosomal RNA
Rfam family: Bacterial small subunit ribosomal RNA
Source: RNAcentral
GAUGAACGCUGGCGGCGUGCCUAAUACAUGCAAGUCGAGCGAACAGACGAGGAGCUUGCUCCUCUGACGUUAGCGGCGGACGGGUGAGUAACACGUGGAUAACCUACCUAUAAGACUGGGAUAACUUCGAGAAACCGGAGCUAAUACCGGAUAAUAUAUUGAACCGCAUGGUUCAAUAGUGAAAGACGGUUUUGCUGUCACUUAUAGAUGGAUCCGCGCCGCAUUAGCUAGUUGGUAAGGUAACGGCUUACCAAGGCAACGAUGCGUAGCCGACCUGAGAGGGUGAUCGGCCACACUGGAACUGAGACACGGUCCAGACUCCUACGGGAGGCAGCAGUAGGGAAUCUUCCGCAAUGGGCGAAAGCCUGACGGAGCAACGCCGCGUGAGUGAUGAAGGUCUUCGGAUCGUAAAACUCUGUUAUUAGGGAAGAACAAAUGUGUAAGUAACUAUGCACGUCUUGACGGUACCUAAUCAGAAAGCCACGGCUAACUACGU